UCCCUGGUGGCUCAGACGGUAAAGCAUCUGCCUGCAAUGCAGGAGACCUAGAUUCGAUCCCUGGGUGGAGAA
This 72-nucleotide transfer RNA is filed under the name Ovis aries (sheep). It matches the Rfam family "tRNA". From Rfam's summary of the family: Transfer RNA (tRNA) molecules are approximately 80 nucleotides in length. Their secondary structure includes four short double-helical elements and three loops (D, anti-codon, and T loops). Lineage: Eukaryota; Metazoa; Chordata; Mammalia; Artiodactyla; Bovidae. The record is from Rfam by way of RNAcentral.